AGAGUUCGAUUAUGGCUCAGGAUGAACGCUGGCGGCGUGCUUAACACAUGCAAGUCGAACGGGGAUUAUUUCAUUGAAGCUUCGGCAGAUUUGGCUUAAUCCUAGUGGCGGACGGGUGAGUAACGCGUGGGUAACCUGCCUUAUACAGGGGGAUAACAGUCAGAAAUGGCUGCUAAUACCGCAUAAGCGCACAGGGCCGCAUGGCCCGGUGUGAAAAACUGAGGUGGUAUAAGAUGGACCCGCGUUGGAUUAGCCAGUUGGCAGGGUAACGGCCUACCAAAGCGACGAUCCAUAGCCGGCCUGAGAGGGUGAACGGCCACAUUGGGACUGAGACACGGCCCAG
RNAcentral lists this ribosomal RNA (343 nucleotides) under uncultured bacterium. RNAcentral describes it as "bacterial SSU rRNA". It matches the Rfam family "Bacterial small subunit ribosomal RNA", at positions 8 to 334 of the family's 1533-position model. The record is from RNAcentral.